Long non-coding RNA from Centrocercus urophasianus (Greater sage-grouse), 4662 nucleotides. RefSeq lists it as uncharacterized. NCBI's taxonomy places the organism in Eukaryota, Metazoa, Chordata, Aves, Galliformes, Phasianidae. The transcript has 3 exons. The record is from RefSeq and is a predicted model, not a curated record.
AACUGAAUGUGUCAAGUACUGAAUUGCUGGCUCUAUGUGUAGCAUUUCCUGUUGUUCUUUAUUUUUUUCCCCAGUUUUCUCCAGAGAGAUGAAGAAAGCACCUGUGACCAGCAUUGGAUAUUUAAAACCUCUUUUACUCAGCGUAGCUAAUUUGGAAUAUGAAAGCUUCCCCUGAGUUCAGCAAAGGCAGCUUAACUUCAUAGAUUCCUCAUUAGUAGUAGUUUCAGCAGAGGCACAUACACGAAGUUGACUUCAGGACAGUUUCGCUAGACUAAUUUCAUUCACAUUAACAUAUUUCUUUGAAAGUGUGGGUGGUUUACGCUUGCUUUUGAAUUAAGAUCUUUUCUGAAGAAAACCACAGCAAGGUACUUUUCUAAAAAGCUGUCAGAAUCUGUAAGAAGUAUGUUGCAGAUUUCAUGCUAACGUAAGACUUGAAUGAAUAUAAAGGGAGAAAAAAAACUGUCAUAACUUGUCUCACUGUGAGCUGUAGAUGGAUAUAAGCCUUGACAGUGAGUACAAUGGAAGCUGGUUUCAGAGUCCUAGUAGAAAUUUUCUGUGAGAACGAUCCUUCAGUUAAAAUUAGGAAGGGUCUGGAAGGUCAUAAAUCUAUCAGAUUUGAAGUAUUCUGUUACGGAGUUGCAACUUGGUUUUGCUUAUCUUACAAUGGGAAUGGUGUAAAAAAUGAUAAUCUAAUCUGAUAAGUACCAAGUUAGGUUUACUGAUGUCCUGAGCCAUUGGGAUUGUCAUGUUUCUGUACUGACAAAAAAUCUUAAUAUUUUGUGUGGUGUUAGCUGGUCAGUAUGUCUCAGACUAAGUAGUUUCUGCUUUUUGAGGUACUUGGUCUUUUUUAAGGUUAUGAGUAGGGAUUUCUAAUGGGAAGUACUGAGGCUUGUUUUUCUGUAAUGCCAAGGGCUAAACUUUUACAGUUUAUUACCCUCAGUAUAACAUUUGGAAGAGAAUUGCUUUCAGUGGAUAAUAAAACACGAGGAGUACACGGAUGAAUUGUGAAGAAGCUUUGCUGAUGUUCAGCAUUUCAGAAGUGAAGUUUCCUGGUUUGUAAAGGCACUCUGAGGUUUGCUGGGGCGUACACACCACUCAGGUACAAAUUGCAGUGGAGUGAAUCAGAUCGCUUGCAUCCCAGCAAGGUUGUGCAGAUUGCCCUCAAUAACGGCUCAGCCUAAAGUGUCUGUUUUGGUACAGUUACCCUGGAGUGCUUAUGGCUUAUGUCAUUUGUUGUGGAGUUGGUCAAGUACAGCUGCAGGUCGAUGAUCAUCCAUUUAUAUUUUGUAGUCUUAGAAAAACUAUAGUUAUUAGGAGUAACAUUUUUUAAAGCAUCUUUUAAAUUUCCAUGCCCCUUUCAAGACAACCUUUCUCCCCCCCCCUCACCCUCCUUGAUGCAGUGACUGACAAUAAGGGAGGCUGCUCUCAGAGGAGUACCAAGUAUUUGUUUGGAAUUUAGAGGGUUGACCUAGGAGUGGUAGAACUGCUUAUAUUCAUUCCUUCAGAAAGCUCUCAGUAAACCAUUCUUGUCUGCUCCCUGAGAAGAUUUCAGGUUGUGUGACAGUGGGAGAAAGAAAUCCUCAGUUUGUGGGCAGAAUAAUAUAAUCACAUGUGCCUUAACUAAGCUACUAGAAAGUAUGUAGUUUAGGGUUAAAGGCAAAAUAGCCAAGUAAAUAACCUGGCAAACCACAGAGUUAAACAACUUUAUUUGGCUGUUUUACAGCUUUGUGGAAUCUUUCUUGCUCUUAAUCAGUCUGUCCUUUUCCUGUGAAAGGUAGAUAUACUCUAAACAAGGCUUCAUCUAGCAGGCACAGCAAGAUGUGAAGGGAAUGUCAGGUGGUGGAGCUUGCCCAGGUUCAAACAUCAGUGCAAGAGCAGAUGCAGGUUCCUUGGACUUCAAUGUGGAAAGGAUUCUCUCUCCUUACUAAGAUCAAGAGGAAAGAGGAUCAAGAAUAAAUGAGGCUUUGUGCAUCCUGAGUGCUCAUGGACAACACACAGAAGCAUUUGUUUCAUAGGCAGCCUUCAGUGGGGAAAAGUCAGUUUCUCUGCAGAGGAGCGCUGUAGGGAACACCACCGUGCAGGUGGUGAGAUGCAGCGUAACCAGGAGCUAAGUUGGUAAUCAUCUGGGAGAAGUCGCAAGUAACUGUUCUCUGUGGCUCAGAAGAGAGACUUAGCAAGGUAUGUGUGCUGACAGGUCUGUGGAGGGAUCGUGGUCUCCUUCAGACGCACCAUUGCUGCCGGAACUAAAAGUGGUGUAUAGCUGUAACGCCGUAGUACCACUGGUCUAUUUGAUAUUCCAGCAGUUUGGGGAACAAAUGGUUUGGCAUACCUUCAGGAACUUUGGCAGCUGCUGUCUGAUGAGGGCAACAUUGAUCAGCUAUCAGCUGUAGAGAAGCCUGGCUUUGCAGAACCUGCUGUUGAGCCUGACUUCUUAAAUUUUCUCAUAAAAACUUCUAUGCUUUACCAUGGGGCUUUGUGCUCAAUUUAUACAUAACUAUUAAUAUUGACAAAUUACCCACAUGCAUCAAGAAGUUUCUUCAAAAAGCUUCAAAACUCAUCCUUGUGUACGAGGAGAAGUAAGUCUCUCUUCAGGCUUACACAGGAUCAUCUUGUGCAUCAGUCUGUUAGCAUAAGAGAAUUUUUAUGCUUCUGUCAUAGCCCCAUAUUCUUGCCAGGAAAAAUUAACAUGUAUGUCCCGUUAUUAUUUUUAUCUCUAGCCAUUCUAAAAAUGCCAUUUUUUUUGCUGUACAUGAAAGAAACAUGUCCAAUAUACUGCAUACAUCCUCAGUCAACGAAUGGUGAUCAAAGCAGCCUGGGUUAUGCAGCUAGCACUAACCAUUUCCGUGAAGUGUUUGAUGAAAGACUUAGCUGAAGCGCAAAUUAUUUUUUUGGAGGCUGAUAAUUAAUGUUGUUUAGCUCUUACCCUGCACCGUUCCUAAAUGCUUCAUGUUCUCAGAGAAACCGGUUGCUCGAACUAAAAAUAUCCCUCCGGAAUGCUGACCUAACAAAAACACUUCAGGCAUCUGCUGUUGUACCUACAAAAGCUAAAGCAGUGCACGUCAGGGUACCAGCUUCCUUCUCACUACUUAAAAGAAAAAAAGCCCUCUGUGUCAGGGUUUACGUGAUCAACAGCAGGAGGCGUAACAGAUUUUAUCAGUAGAAAGCCUUCCCUGAUACAAGGUGACAAUCUUUAGCUGCACUGAGGCUUUUUUCCACUUUAACAAGUCCUGUGUGUUGACUAAAACUCAGUUAUGUGAAGACUUAAAGUUGGAAUUUUUUCACUGUUUGAAUGGGGAGAGGAAAAUAAAAACAAAUAAACAAAAAAAACCCCUGAAGUUGUGUACAAAUAAAACAAUAAUUCAUAAUCUAAAAUAGAAAAGAUACAUUCAAGUGCAUUGAGGGGGACAAGAACUAAAGCACCAUUUUUAACCAAGGCACCUGGGCAACUAAUAAAAAUUGUGGAAGUUCUGUUGCCUGCUGCUGCCUCUCUCUACUCCAGCACUACAAAGCAAGAGAUAAUAGAUCUGGAAAUGACAAAGGGAGCAACAAAGGUGUCUGAAAGUACCAAGGUGCUCUCUUGAAGAAAAAUUAAUGAUGUAAGAUAAAAAUGCCAAAAAAUCAGUUCAUUUUCUAAAGGGUGGCUUGCUGAGGAGGUUAAUUUUGUACAAUUAUAAGCAGCAAUUGUGCUGCGUAAGAAAUUAUAUUUUUUACUAACAAUAAUUUCACAAUACUAAAUGAAAGUUGUUGAGCCAUUCAUAAUGCACUGUCAUCCUCACAAGCAGAAUUAAGUGGUGGGAUGCCUUUCUGUGUGACUUUCGUGGGUGUUUAUGCUCAUGGUUCAAAAACCAACUUGAAACUCAGGAAAAAAAUUCCUUUUCAGGAUAUGCCCAAGAUUCAAAUCGGAGUCAAAGAAUGUUCUGGGAAAGUAUUCUAUUCUUUCUAUGCUUUUAUAACUCUUUCCUAGGUAUCCCCUGUUGACCAUCAUCACAAGCAGGAUGCUCACUUGGGUGAACAUUUGCUGAUCCAGCACAGCUGUUUUAUGUGUCUGUUGAGUAUCUGUUGUGAAAAACUUGCACUGCACUUUGAAUCCUACAGGUCUCAUCUUAUUUACGAGAGGCACAGGUGCUGCCUCACUUAGCAGUGUUUACCAGAAGUGCACGUCAUGUUAUGAAUGCUUUCUUGACACUUUUUAAUUCAGCAGAAUUGAGAGAAUGUGGCUCAGGUUCCUCCUCAAAUGUGAGAAUUUCACUCAUUAACCACCAAGCUGUCAGUGGAAACAAACUCAGGAUGUGACAUACUUUGUGGAAAUAGUUAUCUUUCCAGGGCAGGAUUUUCUUUAAACCCCAUUGUAAACAGAUAAUUUCAUUCAGAUUGAACUCUUAAGCAUGUGUUAUAGCAUUCUUUUAACUAUUUCCAUUAGUACAGCUCUUCUUUUGCAAUUUUUUUUUGCAAAUUCUCAAAUCCAGCCACUAUGAAAAAUGAAAAAAAUCCUCAAUAUGAAGUUAAAUUCCAUACCUAAACAGCUUAUCUCUUGCUCUUAUACUACACAAACUGGAGAUUAUACCUUUGCCAAACAUUUACCACAAGCCUAAUGUUAAUUUCUUCAAGCAUUUAUGUAGUGUCUCCUCUACAGGUCUAAUGCCUCUCUUUACAGAUAUUCUC